Molecule: non-coding RNA, 250 nt
Organism: Paramuricea clavata
Lineage: Eukaryota; Metazoa; Cnidaria; Anthozoa; Malacalcyonacea; Plexauridae
Source: the annotation of a GenBank genome assembly
AUUAUAUGCGUUUGCAGUUCAUAGCUACAGAAUAUGACUGAUUAAUACGAAAAUAUUUUUCAUUUGGGCGAAUGCAAUGAGGAAGAAUUAAAUAAUUAUUUUCUAGUGAUCAUGAACUUUCAGCUCCAAACUUGACUUAUGUGCUUACUGCCGAUUACAUACAUGCAGACGAGGUAACUGGGACUACUCUGUAUAGUCUUUCCUUUCCCGAUCAAAGUAGAGUUAAACAACAUUAACUGCGGACAGGGAC